Molecule: ribosomal RNA, 505 nt
Filed under: uncultured bacterium
Lineage: Bacteria
Description: partial 16S ribosomal RNA
Rfam family: Bacterial small subunit ribosomal RNA
Source: RNAcentral
GACGAACGCUGGCGGCGUGCCUAAUACAUGCAAGUCGAACGCACAGUUUAUACCGUAGCUUGCUACACCAUAGACUGUGAGUUACGAACGGGUGAGUAACGCGUAGGUAACCUGCCUGGUAGCGGGGGAUAACUAUUGGAAACGAUAGCUAAUACCGCAUAAUAUUAAUUAUUGCAUGAUAAUUAAUUGAAAGGUGCAAUUGCACCACUACCAGAUGGACCUGCGUUGUAUUAGCUAGUAGGUGAGGUAACGGCUCACCUAGGCGACGAUACAUAGCCGACCUGAGAGGGUGAUCGGCCACACUGGGACUGAGACACGGCCCAGACUCCUACGGGAGGCAGCAGUAGGGAAUCUUCGGCAAUGGACGAAAGUCUGACCGAGCAACGCCGCGUGAGUGAAGAAGGUUUUCGGAUCGUAAAGCUCUGUUGUAAGAGAAGAACGGGUGUGAGAGUGGAAAGUUCACACUGUGACGGUAUCUUACCAGAAAGGGACGGCUAACUACGUG